Halomonas sp. BC04 is the source of this 73-nucleotide transfer RNA. It matches the Rfam family "tRNA". From Rfam's summary of the family: Transfer RNA (tRNA) molecules are approximately 80 nucleotides in length. Their secondary structure includes four short double-helical elements and three loops (D, anti-codon, and T loops). Further hydrogen bonds mediate the characteristic L-shaped molecular structure. tRNAs have two regions of fundamental functional importance: the anti-codon, which is responsible for specific mRNA codon recognition, and the 3' end, to which the tRNAs corresponding amino acid is attached (by aminoacyl-tRNA synthetases). tRNAs cope with the degeneracy of the genetic code in two manners: having more than one tRNA (with a specific anti-codon) for a particular amino acid; and 'wobble' base-pairing, i.e. permitting non-standard base-pairing at the 3rd anti-codon position. Lineage: Bacteria; Pseudomonadati; Pseudomonadota; Gammaproteobacteria; Oceanospirillales; Halomonadaceae. The record is from Rfam.
GGCUACGUAGCUCAGCUGGUUAGAGCACAUCACUCAUAAUGAUGGGGUCCCCUGUUCGAAUCAGGCGUAGCAC